GACAGAGGGUGCAAACGUUGCUCGGAAUUACUGGGCGUAAAGCGCGUGUAGGCGGCCACUGCAAGUCGGGUGUGAAAGCCCGAGGCUCAACCUCGGAACUGCCUUCGAUACUGCGGGUCUCGAGUCCGGAGAGGUGAGUGGAAGUACUCAGUGUAGAGGUGAAAUUCGUAGAUAUUAGGAAGAACACCAGUGGCGAAGGCGGCUCACUGGCCCGGUACUGACGCUGAGGCGCGAAAGCGUGGGGAGCGGACAGG
RNAcentral lists this ribosomal RNA (254 nucleotides) under uncultured bacterium. RNAcentral describes it as "partial 16S ribosomal RNA". It matches the Rfam family "Bacterial small subunit ribosomal RNA", at positions 524 to 776 of the family's 1533-position model. The record is from RNAcentral.